This 468-nucleotide ribosomal RNA is filed under the name uncultured bacterium. Its description in RNAcentral is "partial 16S ribosomal RNA". It matches the Rfam family "Bacterial small subunit ribosomal RNA", at positions 28 to 507 of the family's 1533-position model. The record is from RNAcentral.
GACGAACGCUGGCGGCGUGCUUAACACAUGCAAGUCGAACGGAAAGGCCCUGCUUUUGUGGGGUGCUCGAGUGGCGAACGGGUGAGUAACACGUGAGUAACCUGCCCUUGACUUUGGGAUAACUUCAGGAAACUGGGGCUAAUACCGGAUAGGAGCUCCUGCUGCAUGGUGGGGGUUGGAAAGUUUCGGCGGUUGGGGAUGGACUCGCGGGUUAUCAGCUUGUUGGUGGGGUAGUGGCUUACCAAGGCUUUGACGGGUAGCCGGCCUGAGAGGGUGACCGGCCACAUUGGGACUGAGAUACGGACCAGACUGCUACGGGAGGCAGCAGUGGGGAAUAUUGCACAAUGGGCGGAAGCCUGAUGCAGCAACGCCGCGUGCGGGAUGACGGCCUUCGGGUUGUAAACCGCUUUCGCCGGUGACGAAGCGUGAGUGACGGUAAUGGGUAAAGAAGCACCGGCUAACUACGUG